Molecule: ribosomal RNA, 492 nt
Filed under: uncultured bacterium
Lineage: Bacteria
Description: partial 16S ribosomal RNA
Rfam family: Bacterial small subunit ribosomal RNA
Source: RNAcentral
AGUGAACGCUGGCGGUAGGCCUAACACAUGCAAGUCGAACGGCAGCACAGUAAGAGCUUGCUCUUACGGGUGGCGAGUGGCGGACGGGUGAGGAAUACAUCGGAAUCUACUUUUUCGUGGGGGAUAACGUAGGGAAACUUACGCUAAUACCGCAUACGACCUACGGGUGAAAGCAGGGGAUCUUCGGACCUUGCGCGAUUGAAUGAGCCGAUGUCGGAUUAGCUAGUUGGCGUGGUAAAGGCCCACCAAGGCGACGAUCCGUAGCUGGUCUGAGAGGAUGAUCAGCCACACUGGAACUGAGACUCGGUACAGACUCCUACGGGAGGCAGCAGUGGGGAAUAUUGGACAAUGGGCGCAAGCCUGAUCCAGCCAUACCGCGUGAGUGAAGAAGGCCUUCGGGUUGUAAAGACCUUUUGUUGGGAAAGAAAAGCAGCAGGUUAAUACCCCGCUGUUCUGACGGUACCCAAAGAAUAAGCACCGGCUAACUUCGUG